UCCCUCCCAGGGUCGCACCUGGAGAGUUUCCAGCACUCUACCAGUCUCGACUAUGAGAGGGAGAGUCAAGCAGAGACAUAUCCAUUCCAUUCCUAGCUUGGGCAGUGGCUAGCGAAUGGCAGAACAUCUGCUACAAGU
Molecule: small nucleolar RNA, 138 nt
Organism: Ornithorhynchus anatinus (platypus)
Lineage: Eukaryota; Metazoa; Chordata; Mammalia; Monotremata; Ornithorhynchidae
Source: RefSeq, a predicted model, not a curated record